GAAUUGUCGUCUUUCCCCGGCCCUAUGUAUUUCCAUUAGAGAGAAAAUAGAGAUCAAGCGCAGACAUGGGAACUUAACAAAGGAAGAAACGCGAAUUGAUGAUGGAGGUCACCAAAGACGAAGCUGCAACCCCAGGAGCAGGAGGUGCUCAACCUCGCAAUCCAAAUCCAAAUCCAAAUCCAACUCCAAAUCCAAACCCUAACCCUAACCCUCCUCACACCACCAGAGGAUCUAAAGGAAAAUCGUGUAAGGGAUGCACCUACUACUCAUCGCUUCAUAAAGCCAAGUCCAAAAACCCCACAUGCGUUGGUUUCUCCAGAACACUCCAGCAAGUACCCCCCUUUGUUGUCGGAGAAUCUGAGUUGGAAGCUUCCAAAGAGGGCCGCAGCCUUACCAAUUUCAAGUAUGCAUGUGUUGGAUACUCUGUCUACUUAGACAACAAAGAUUCUUCAGCUGACUCGCAGGAUAAAACAGCAAAAUUGCCCUUUUGCGUUGGUCUUGAGGUGGUCUUAGAGGAGAAAGCUUCAAAUUCACAUGCAGGCCAUGUUCCUGCUACUCAUAAAACUGAAGUGCCUACUAUAUCGGUGGACUUUUCUACACUUGUAAUGGGGCAAUUGAUAGAUAAUGGUGAAUGUAACACAUGGAACUCUCAACACAAUCCUAUUUACAAUUGUACAAGAUGAACAUGCUGCUCCUCAACCUAGAAGAUAUAUACCUCCAAAUCAUACGACAGAGUUCUUGAACAGGUUUCAAAGAAAUGCAGGCCUGGUGGCAUCUGGUGUUGCCAAAAACUUGAACAGAGUGGGUAACUAUGUGAAAGAUCUCCUAAAUGACAUUCUAAACUAAUUCUACAAUGCACCUUGCAUGGGUGGUACAUUCAUGCUCCCUUAUGUUGAUUUUUCAUUUCAAUCCUCACCCCCUAAUGUGCAAGGCGCAUUAUAGAACUACUCCGACAUUCUAUUUAGGCGAACGACGGUGACAACUGUAGUUCGUGUACGAAAUAAAUUCAAUUUUACACAUUGGCCAUUUUCCUUACCUUAGGUCAAUUUAUUAUUUAGGUUACUGGCGGUUUUAUAAAUAAAUUUUACACAUUGGUCAUUUUCCUUUCGUU
RNA transcript from Glycine soja, 1111 nucleotides. RefSeq lists it as uncharacterized. The transcript is spliced from 6 exons. The record is from RefSeq and is a predicted model, not a curated record. NCBI's taxonomy places the organism in Eukaryota, Viridiplantae, Streptophyta, Magnoliopsida, Fabales, Fabaceae.